RNAcentral lists this long non-coding RNA (476 nucleotides) under Eutrema salsugineum. RNAcentral describes it as "long non-coding RNA (ESAL_LNC002053)". Lineage: Eukaryota; Viridiplantae; Streptophyta; Magnoliopsida; Brassicales; Brassicaceae. The record is from RNAcentral.
UGCAGCGACGAGACGGCGAGCAAAGGUGAAUGGCCUUGGAGACUAAUGGCGUUUCAUAGGUUAGGGUUCACAGCCUCCGAUAUCCUUUCCUGCAUCAAAGAAUCGAACAUGAUCGGAAUGGGAGCCACCGGAAUCGUGUACAAAGCGGAGAUGUCACGAUCGAACACUGUUCUCGCCGUGAAGAAGCUCUGGAGAUCCGCCGCCGAUAUUGAGGAUGGAAACACCGGAGAUUUCGUUGGCGAAGUAAACCUUCUGGGAAAAUUGAGACACAGGAACAUCGUGAGGCUCCUUGGGUUCCUAUACAACGACAAAAACAUGAUGAUUGUAUACGAAUUCAUGCUUAACGGGAACCUCGGCGACGCGAUUCACGGGAAAAACGCCGCCGGGAGGCUGCUCGUCGAUUGGGUCUCGCGUUACAACAUCGCGCUUGGUGUCGCUCACGGCCUCGCUUACCUCCACCAUGAUUGUCAUCCUCC